This is an RNA transcript of Haliotis rufescens (red abalone), 1296 nucleotides long. RefSeq lists it as uncharacterized. NCBI's taxonomy places the organism in Eukaryota, Metazoa, Mollusca, Gastropoda, Lepetellida, Haliotidae. The transcript is spliced from 9 exons. The record is from RefSeq and is a predicted model, not a curated record.
AAUAGAUGUGACCGCAGCACAAUAUGGCCAUUACCCAAGCAGAAAAUGGAUGUGACUUAUUAAACAUUGAUGCCCAUGAUGGCCAAAGGUUGGCUGCCUGAUGGUGCCUAUCUUCUACAAUGUCCAACAAAGGAGCUUUUCCAAUUGUUGUUGCCAAGUUCUGGAGACAGUGGACUUGUUGCAGGAAGUUGACACCAGCACAGUUGUGUUUGAGACUGUCACCCUUCUGCAGGAGUACCAGGAUUCAGUAAUUCAGGAUUCAGGAUUCAGUCCCCCAGAUGCCGGCAAUGACAAGAGACUGAGCCAGGUUGCCAAUAGGACCUACCGGUAUGCUUCAGAAAGAUCAGUUCAAGAAAAUGAUCAAGACAACUAUGAAACGUCAAAGUAUAACAGUGUGGGCUGGUGUCAGCUGUCAGAUCUAAGGGACGGCAGCCUCUCCCUCGUCAUUAGAAACUCAUCUUGAAGCUGCUUAACUAUCGGUUGCAGCUUUUCUGGCACGUCAUUAAAGAUCUACAAAGCAAUCCAAAUUUUUACAGAAAACAGCAGCAGGGAAGGGGUGUUCAUUUGCCUCAACUGACCGUUAAAGGACAAGUUUCCACAAGAAGCAUGUCUUUUGAUCCAUCCAGUGAUUCAGUGAUCUUGGGCGCCGGAAUUUGCUGUGCAGAUUUGCAUCCUCAAGAUGCAGAAUCCGUUGAAUCAUUGGUUGAAAUCCCAGAUUCAUCUUCAUCACGAUUGGUUUGUUUGUAGCAGGGUUGAAAAAACUGUGUGGAUGAAGCUUCAAUCUGCAGGUCACUGACACGAUGUUCCAAGGGAGAAUAAUUAGUGGACAUUGAUGAAUAGGGUGAGUUAGAAUCUCCACGUGAAUAUAAUCAAUCUCUUUGCACAGUUCAAUACUCUAUCAUCUCAACACAAAAUCUAUCACCCUCAAUGUUAACACCAAUUAUUGGUAUUUAUUUGUGAAAAAUAAAAAAGAUAGAUCUGCGCUUUUGUGUCAAUUAAAUAUUUCUAAAUGAGCACAAAGAUUUAUAAAGACCUCAAUCAUGGAAGUUUGUUGUUCAAGUUCUGUCUGAAAUGUUAUGUUGACAUUGACAGGAGUGGAUUUAAUAGGCACACACUACAUGGAAAAUUGAUUACCAUGUAAAAACCGUUAUUUUUAUUUUAGAGGUUUAUUUUGAAAAGUGAUUUGUAACCAAAUUUGAAAUGCUUUUUCUCAAAUGCAAACAAGACCUUUGAAGGUCACACAAGGGGGAAAGCUAAUUAGAAGAAAAUAUUCAUUUAUUUGUUCAUUUUCAAUAA